RNAcentral lists this ribosomal RNA (468 nucleotides) under uncultured bacterium. Its description in RNAcentral is "partial 16S ribosomal RNA". It matches the Rfam family "Bacterial small subunit ribosomal RNA", at positions 28 to 507 of the family's 1533-position model. The record is from RNAcentral.
GAUGAACGCUGGCGGCGUGCUUAACACAUGCAAGUCGAACGGAAAGGCCCAAGCUUGCUUGGGUACUCGAGUGGCGAACGGGUGAGUAACACGUGGGUGAUCUGCCCUGCACUUCGGGAUAAGCCUGGGAAACUGGGUCUAAUACCGGAUAGGACGAUGGUUUGGAUGCCGUUGUGGAAAGUUUUUUCGGUGUGGGAUGAGCUCGCGGCCUAUCAGCUUGUUGGUGGGGUAAUGGCCUACCAAGGCGUCGACGGGUAGCCGGCCUGAGAGGGUGUACGGCCACAUUGGGACUGAGAUACGGCCCAGACUCCUACGGGAGGCAGCAGUGGGGAAUAUUACACAAUGGGCGCAAGCCUGAUGCAGCGACGCCGCGUGGGGGAUGACGGCCUUCGGGUUGUAAACUCCUUUCGCUAGGGACGAAGCGUUUUUGUGACGGUACCUGGAGAAGAAGCACCGGCUAACUACGUG